Molecule: ribosomal RNA, 432 nt
Filed under: Sphingobium chlorophenolicum
Lineage: Bacteria; Pseudomonadati; Pseudomonadota; Alphaproteobacteria; Sphingomonadales; Sphingobiaceae
Description: bacterial SSU rRNA
Rfam family: Bacterial small subunit ribosomal RNA
Source: RNAcentral
AACGAACGCUGGCGGCAUGCCUAACACAUGCAAGUCGAACGAUGCCUUCGGGCAUAGUGGCGCACGGGUGCGUAACGCGUGGGAAUCUGCCCCUGGGUUCGGAAUAACAGCGAGAAAUUGCUGCUAAUACCGGAUGAUGACGAAAGUCCAAAGAUUUAUCGCCCAGGGAUGAGCCCGCGUAGGAUUAGCUAGUUGGUGAGGUAAGAGCUCACCAAGGCGACGAUCCUUAGCUGGUCUGAGAGGAUGAUCAGCCACACUGGGACUGAGACACGGCCCAGACUCCUACGGGAGGCAGCAGUGGGGAAUAUUGGACAAUGGGCGAAAGCCUGAUCCAGCAAUGCCGCGUGAGUGAUGAAGGCCUUAGGGUUGUAAAGCUCUUUUACCCGGGAUGAUAAUGACAGUACCGGGAGAAUAAGCUCCCGCUAACUCCGU